AGUGUUAAAGAUGGCUCUUUACUGAAGGUUUGUUCCCAGGAAAGAAAAGACGCCACUGAUUCUGUACAUGGAGGUUGGGUGACUGAUCUGCACUUCUCCCCAAACAACUCUGUGCUCGUUUCUACCGGAGGCUACAUCAAGUGGUGGGACGUGGCGAGAGGUGAAUCCCUGCAGACGUUUUAUCCGACAGGAAGCGCCCUCAAGAAGAUCCACGUGUCGCCCGACUUCUCCACCUUCGUCACCAUCGACAACAUCGGUAUCCUCUACAUCC
Molecule: long non-coding RNA, 271 nt
Organism: Xiphophorus hellerii (green swordtail)
Lineage: Eukaryota; Metazoa; Chordata; Actinopteri; Cyprinodontiformes; Poeciliidae
Exons: 2
Source: RefSeq, a predicted model, not a curated record